This 437-nucleotide ribosomal RNA is filed under the name Wolbachia endosymbiont of Aphis gossypii. RNAcentral's name for it is "bacterial SSU rRNA". It matches the Rfam family "Bacterial small subunit ribosomal RNA", at positions 992 to 1428 of the family's 1533-position model. Lineage: Bacteria; Pseudomonadati; Pseudomonadota; Alphaproteobacteria; Rickettsiales; Anaplasmataceae. The record is from RNAcentral.
CAUACCUAUUCGAAGGGAUAGGGUCGGUUUGGCCGGAUUUCACACAGGUGUUGCAUGGCUGUCGUCAGCUCGUGUCGUGAGAUGUUGGGUUAAGUCCCGCAACGAGCGCAACCCUCAUCCUUAGUUACCAUCAGGUUAUGCUGGGGACUUUAAGGAAACUGCCAGUGAUAAACUGGAGGAAGGUGGGGAUGAUGUCAAGUCAUCAUGGCCCUUAUGGAGUGGGCUACACACGUGCUACAAUGGUGAUUACAAUGGGCUGCAAGGUCGCAAGGCUGAGCUAAUCCUAAAAAAUCAUCUCAGUUCGGAUUGUUCUCUGCAACUCGAGAGCAUGAAGUUGGAGUCGCUAGUAAUCGUGGAUCAGCAUGCCACGGUGAAUACGUUCUCGGGUCUUGUACACACUGCCCGUCACGCCAUGGGAAUUGGUUUCACUCGAAGCU